CAGUCGCCGCGGGAAUACGUAGGUGGCAAGCGUUGUCCGGAAUUAUUGGGCGUAAAGGGCUCGCAGGCGGUUUCUUAAGUCUGAUGUGAAAGCCCCCGGCUCAACCGGGGAGGGUCAUUGGGAACUGGGAAACUUGAGUGCAGAAGAGGAGAGAGGAAUUCCACGUGUAGCGGUGAAAUGCGUAGAGAUGUGGAGGAACACCAGUGGCGAAGGCGACUCUCUGGUCUGUAACUGACGCUGAGGAGCGAAAGCGUGGGGAGCGAACAGGAUUAGAUACCCCAGUAGUCCCUGUCUCUUAUAA
This 301-nucleotide ribosomal RNA is filed under the name uncultured bacterium. RNAcentral's name for it is "partial 16S ribosomal RNA". It matches the Rfam family "Bacterial small subunit ribosomal RNA", at positions 509 to 809 of the family's 1533-position model. The record is from RNAcentral.